RNAcentral lists this long non-coding RNA (1203 nucleotides) under Oncorhynchus mykiss (rainbow trout). RNAcentral's name for it is "lncRNA (ENSOMYG00000058772.1)". Lineage: Eukaryota; Metazoa; Chordata; Actinopteri; Salmoniformes; Salmonidae. The record is from RNAcentral.
AUGUGGAGGCUAUAUACAGGGUGUUACGGUACAGAGUCAAUGUGGAGGCUAUAUACAGGGUAUUACGGUACAGAGUCAAUGUGGAGGCUAUAUACAGGGUAUUACGGUACAGAGUCAAUGUGGAGGCUAUAUACAGGGUAUUACGGUACAGAGUCAAUGUGGAGACUAUAUACAGGGUGUUACGGUACAGAGUCAAUGUGGAGGCUAUAUACAGGGUGUUACGGUACAGAGUCAAUGUGGAGGCUAUAUACAGGGUGUUACGGUACAGAGUCAAUGUGGAGGCUAUAUACAGGGGGUACCGGUAUAGAGUCAAUGUGGAGGCUAUAUACAGGGGGUACCGGUACAGAGUCAAUGUGGAGGCUAUAUACAGGGGUUACCGGUACAGAGUUAAUGUGGAGACUAUAUACAGGGGGUACCGGUACAGAGUCAAUGUGGAGGCUAUAUACAGGGUAUUACGGUACAGAGUCAAUGUGGAGGCUUUAUACAGGGUAUUACGGUACAGAGUCAAUGUGGAGGCUAUAUACAGGGUGUUACGGUACAGAGUCAAUGUGGAGGCUAUAUACAGGGUAUUACGGUACAGAGUCAAUGUGGAGGCUAUAUACAGGGUAUUACGGUACAGAGUCAAUGUGGAGGCUAUAUACAGGGUGUUACGGUACAGAGUCAAUGUGGAGGCUAUAUACAGGGUGUUACGGUACAGAGUCAAUGUGGAGGCUAUAUACAGGGUGUUACGGUACAGAGUCAAUGUGGAGGCUAUAUACAGGGGAUACCGGUACAGAGUCAAUGUGGAGGCUAUAUACAGGGUAUUACGGUACAGAGUCAAUGUGGAGGCUAUAUACAGGGUGUUACGGCACAGAGUCAAUGUGGAGGCUAUAUACAGGGUAUUACGGUACAGAGUCAAUGUGGAGGCUAUAUACAGGGGGUACCGGUACAGAGUCAAUGUGGAGGUUAUAUACAGGGUGUUACGGUACAGAGUCAAUGUGGAGGAUAUAUACAGGGUAUUACGGUACAGAGUCAAUGUGGAGGCUAUAUACAGGGGGUACCGGUACAGAGUCAAUGUGGAGGCUAUAUACAGGGGCACCGGUACAGAGUCAAUGUGGAGGCUAUAUACAGGGUGUUACGGUACAGAGUCAAUGUGGAGGCUAUAUACAGGGGGUACUGGUAGAGAGUCAAUGUGGAGGCUAUAUACAGGGGGUACCGGUAUAG